AGGGAUGAGCGCGGCUAUCUGGAUAAAGAAAAGGAGCAAGCCCUGCGGGAACAGGUACAGGAGAUGGGAAGAGAGCCAGCAACGAAAGUGGACAGGGACCUCUAGGGAACAGAAGCCAAGGCUUUCUGGGGCCUUGCUGUUUCCAUAGCAACGAAGCCUGCUGCCCAGGCACUAGGAGAACCAGGGGGCUCAAGGACCAGAAAAAGGAAUGUUUGACCUUGGUUUUGCCACAUGUACUAGUCCCACCCAGAAGCCAUUCCUCCCACUCCCUCACCUUCACUGCAGUCAAAGAAAGUAUCAUUAAAGAGAGUCAAACAGAAAGAAAGAAAAGAAUAAGGCAACCAUGUGAGUAAGUGAUUGGGACAGAACAAGAGGCCAGCAAAAAGGAAAGAGGCGGGUCUGGGGCUGGACAGUGGCUGCCAAGGCCAAGUGGAGAAACGAGGCCAUUUCUCGACUCCUCAGCCCUGCCUCCAGUCUCCUGGGGUGGGUGGCAAAGCUAGCUACUCUGGAGCCUGCGCCUCCACGGGCUCCAGUCCCUUUACCACCGGAGACCUGGGUCAGCCCAGAGACGCCAAGAGGCCUGAGGAGCAGCCAAAGAGAACCUGAAAGCCUUCGAGAAGAGGGACAGAAAAAGAGAUGAGCAAGUGUGGAAAGAAAACCCGAAGAUGGCCCAGCUCCCAGACCUCCUCUGGGAAGGUCUCCAGCGCCCCCCUCCGCCCUCCCUACUCUCGAGCUCUACAGCUGUCUGUUCUGCUCACUUGGCACUUACUGCCUAAUAACAUCUUGUACUGCUCCCUGGAGAGGAAAUGUGAUGUGAGAAAGAAGACCUGGGCGCUAGUGCUGGCUCCACCACCAGCUUUGUGACCUUCGCUGGUCACAAAGCUGGGCUCUAAGUCCCAGCUUCCCCGUCUGGAAAAUGGAGCUGAUCAUCAGGAACUGCACAGGCUGCUGUGGGCACCUCAGAAAGAGAAAGGGUGGGGUCCAGCUUCCUCAACCAUAAAGCAUCCCACAAAUAAACGACUCAUGCCAGUUGGUAACUUUCUGC
RNAcentral lists this long non-coding RNA (1045 nucleotides) under Homo sapiens (human). Its description in RNAcentral is "HSALNT0176640". The record is from RNAcentral. Lineage: Eukaryota; Metazoa; Chordata; Mammalia; Primates; Hominidae.